UUAAAUUGUUAAAUCAUGUUUUGAUGAUAUUGUAAAUCAAUAUGUUUAAAUUUGAUUUUUCUGAUUUUGUGGUACUUUCUAAAAAUUGGAAUGUUUUCUUGCUGCACAUACUUUUAAAUUGGGUUGCUUUUCCUAAUCUUAGGAAAUAGCAUCCAGUUUCAUACCAUUAAGAAAGAAAGCUACAAAGUUUUAUGUAGAUGCCUUUUACCAAACUGAGCAACUUUUUCAAGUGCUAGUUUACUGAUACAUUUUAUAGUACAGAUAAAUGUAUUGGAUGCUUUUUAUACAUUUGCUGAUAAUAAUCCUGUUUUCCCCUUUAUUCCAUUGUUGUGGGAAACCAUUGAUCAGGCUUUGAGUGUUAACCCAACACUGCAUUUCUAAUAUAAGCCACUUGGGUAUUAUUACUCUUUUGUAUAUAUAUAUUUCUGUAUUCAAUUUCCUACCUUAUAUUUAAGGAUGUUGUAACUAUGUCCAUGAUGGUCAUUAGCCUGUAGUUUUCUUUUCUUUAUUAUUUGUUAGAUUUUAUUAAUCUUCAUUCAAUGUAUUGAUUAUUGUCCUCUCCUUCUAUUUUGCUAGUAUUUCUUCCUAGGAGGUUUAAUAGAUUUCAUUAGUGGAAUCAUUUGGGCUUGAGUUUCCUUCAUGAUAUUUUUAUUAACAAUUUCAAUUCUUUAGUAAUAGGUAAUUAUUCUGAGUUUGUUUCAUCUAAUGUCAGCUUUACUAAGUCCUGUUUUUCAAGGAAGUACUCUAUUUUAUCAGUUUUCUCAAAUUCAGUGGUAUAAAGUUGUUUAUAAUAUUUCCAUAUUACUCUUGUAAUACCUGUAAGAUAUGUAAAGAUCUCAUUUUCUCAGAUCCUGAUGUAGGUUAUAUCAUUUUCCUUUAGAUCACUCUUUCCAAGGUCCCCCUUUUUAUUUAUCAUUUAGAAGAUCCAAUCUUUGACUUUUUAUUAUCUUUUCACUCCAUUACUGAUUUUUGAUCUUGCGUUUCUUUCCUACUGCUUGUGUUGGUUUUAAUAUGCUUUUCUGUUGGCUGUUUAGGGUAGAAACUUAGGUCAUGAUUUUAGACCUUUCUUUGUUUCUAAUAUAAAAAUUAGAGAUAAUAGACAUUGUAUUAAUGGCCUCAAAAUUUUUUGAUAGUUGUAAAUAUCAUUCAGUUCAAAUAUUUUCUUAUUUCUUUGUGAGUUUCUUUUCAGGGGAGUGUAUUAGUCAACUUCAAUUACUGAGGCAAAAUACCUAACACACAUAAUUUAGAGGAGGAAAGGUUUAUUUUGCCUUGGGGUUUCAGGGUUGUCAGUCCACCUGUGGUUGGCUGACUCGUAGACAGAAACAGUGAGACAGAGAAAGGCUGUUUACCUCAUGGCAGUUAGAAAGCAGAGUAAGAAGGAACAGCCAGAGUGGAAGAGGAAGCCAGAGAGCAGAUAAUAAUUCCCAAGGUUGUGUGCCCCUGAGCCACCCAAACAUACCCAGAAGUGUGUGUUCCUAAUCUCCUAGGUAUAUCUCAAGCCAGUCAAGUUGAUGAUCAAAAUUAACCAUCUCAAGUUUACCCCUUGUCUACUCAACACCCAAAUACAUCUCCUUAAAUAAUACUUAAUCUCCAGAGACAAUGUAAGGUCAGAAUUGCACCUAACAUGAUCUAACUAUUCUGUAUACAACCAAAAAUAUACUAAUUCUUUUUCCAAAGUCUUAACUGUCCCAACAUUGCUCUAGGACCUAAGGCAAACUGUUUACCUAUGAGCCCCAGUAAAAUUUAAAAAGCAAGCUUCAUGCUCCCAAGAUAAAAUGACACAGGGUAAAAAUUCCCAUUCCAAAUGGGAGGAGUAUGGGAAUAGAAAAGAAUAGGACAAACGCAACACUGAAACUCAGGAUAGCAAACAUUAAAUCUUACACCUCCAUGUCUGGCAUCCAGGGCACAGUGAGCUCCAGAGGGCUUGGGCUACCCCACCUGAUGGUCUUGCUGGUUGUAGCCCAUUUGGCCUCUUUCCUAGGCUGGCUCUGCUCAGUGCCUGCAACUUUCCUUGGUAGACAUUCCACAUUCCUGAUAUUUCUAGCCUCUGAGAGUCUCCACUGAGGCUUCUGCCUCACUCUCACAGCUUCACGUAUCACUCGGGCUUCUCGCAGGGACUCUGAACAUGUCACAUACCUGGAAGUUUGAGUGAAAGUCUCCAUGACCCUGUAACUCUUGAAUUCUGCAUGCCUACAAAAUCAUAUGUCUGACACCAAGGUCUGCCACCAGCUUGAGCAGUAGCUGGGCCCCCUUGGAGCACUAGCACUUCUGAGCACCAGUAUAGCUAUACAUAGUAAAAUGAAUACCAUGGAAUCAAUUUGCUAGGUGGGCUUCUUGAGCUGGGGCCCGGAGGGGACACUUUUCUCAAAUAAAAUUUUAUGCUUUUGGACCCUUGAGCCUGUGAUGGGUGGACUCUUGCUAAUUUCUGAGAUGACCUCAAGACAUCUUUCUUAUGGCUCCAGUUCAAAGUAUUUUCUUCUCUUUACUGGUGUAAAUCUCUUCAGUAACCACACCUUCUUUGGCCCCAGUUUUAUAUUUGCUUUUCUGGCUAAACCGAAAGUUUUAAAAAUCUUUCUGCUCUGUUUUUUGCUCCCAAUUCUUAUGGUAAAUUUGAGUAAAAGUGGCCAGAAAUAACCAUGCGACCACCUAAAUGUUGUGCAGCCUUGAAAUUUCCUCCACCAGGUCAAUUAAUUAGUCUGUGGCUUUCAACUGAAUCUCACACAAGGUUUUGAAGCAUGGGAAAAAUGUAAACAAACUCUUUGCCAAAAUGUGACAUGAGUCAUCUCUAGUCCAGUGCCCACUAGCGUCCUUAUUUCCAGCUGAAACCUCAGGAGCUCAGUCUUUACUGACCACAUUCCUAUCAGUAUUCUGGUCUUCUGAGCUCUCAUCAGAGUCACCCAUCGAGGUCUACUUAACAACAUUCUGGGGCUUCCCUAGCCUGCAUCUCUGAACCUUUCCAAACUCUUCCUGCACAGCAUUUAUAAAGGCUUCUGAACCCCAUGGUCAGGUACAGUCAUAGAAAUGACCCCAUUUCUCUGGUACCAGUUUUCUGUAUUUAAUUAAUUUGACCAUCAAUGGUUACAUCAAAUGGAAUAUUUAAUUUCCAAAUAUUUAGUGAUUUUUUUUCUGGGUAAAUAAUUACUACCUCUAUGUUAAGCCUCUUACUGUACAGUAAAAAAUAAAAGUGCUCUGCAGUAUUUCAGUUUUUCCACAUUUAUUGAGACAUAGUUUAGCACAUGGCCUAUUUUGAUAAAAGUUUCACAUGCACAUGAAUGUAUAUUUAGUUCUCACUGAAUAUAAUGGUCUGAAAAUGUCAAUAAUUUAAGAUUUUUUUUCACAUAGUAAUUAGAUUUCCUACGUACUAGUGACCUUUAUUGUUAUGUAAGUUACUAAGAAAGUAGUGUUAAAUUUUCUGCCUAUAAUUAUGAACUUAUUUCUCAAUUCUGUCAACUGCUCUUUAUGUAUUUGAAGAUCUCACUUUUUUAUAGUUUUAUGGCUAUUAGGUCUUUUUAAUGGAUUUUUCUAUUUUCCUAAUUUGGUAUGUCUCCCUUAUCUUGGAUAACAUUUGUUGUUUACAAGUCUACUUUGUUAUUUCCAGAUUAUAUUAGAAUUCACUGUAUUCUUUUAUUCUCUUACUUUCUUUCUUUUUUUUUUUGGUACCAGGGAUCGAACUUGGAACCUUGUGCUUGCAAGGCAGGUGACAACACCGCUGAGCUAAAUCCCCAACUCUCUCUUUAUGUCUAUAUUUUGUUUAAGUGUUUCUAUCAUAGAUAGCAUACAAGUGGGUAUUUUUUAUCCAUUUGACCGUUAAUGCCUUUUAAGCCUUUGAUCAAUCCAUUUACAUUAGAUAGACUUGUUAACAUGAUUUGAUUUAUGCCUACCAUUUAGCCAUUUACUUUUUGUCUGUCCCAUCUAGUUUGUUCCUUGCUUUCACUGCUUUGCUUCAUUUUUUUGGGUGAAUUGAUUAUUUUUUAGUAUUAUGUGCUAAAUUCUUUAUUGACAUUUUAGCUCUAGUAUGUAUCUUUGUUUAGAGGUUCAUGUGGGCGUUGCACCAUGCAUCUUUAAUCUAUGACCAACUAUUUAGAGUUACUGUCAUACGCUUCAUGGAAAGUAUAAAAAAUUUCAAUACUUAUUACUCUUUUGUCCUUUAUUCUCAUUUCAUACUUUAUAACCUAGAUAUUAUAAUUUUCUUUCUACAAUCAAUCUUUUAAGUAAGUUAAAAGGAUAUACUAUGGUCUUUUGUGUUUAUGUCUUACUUACUUUUCUUGUUUCUGAGACAAAAUAUCUGACACUCAGAGUUAAAGCAGGAAAGGGUUUUUUUAGCUCAGUUUGUAGAGGUUUCAGUCCAUAGUCAGCUGGCUCCAAGUCAGGGUGGCAUGGCAGAGGGGCAUUGCAGAGGAGAAACAGUCCAUGGCAGGGCAGGGUAAGCAGAAGACAGCAAAGCAGCAAGGAAGCAAUGAGGUCACACUAGCCCUCUUUCUGUCCCUUAUGUUUUAUCCACCCAGGAUGAGGCAUCCUUAAUCCUAUCCAGAACUAUACCAGUGGACUGAUUUAGUAAUCACACACCCUUAAUCCCAGCAUCGCAUACUAUAUAUCCAGCCAGCUCUGUAAGAGCCCUCACUUAAGACUGCUACAUGAGACUUUGGGGGGGACAUCUACACACAAACCAUAAUACCGUAUAUUUACCAUGUCUACUUUGUUCCUUCCUGUUUCCAUCCUCACUCUUUCCCUUUAGCCUAAAGAAGUUCCUUUAGCAUUCUUACAGUGGAGGUGUGAUUACAGAGAAUUCUGUUACUCUUUGGAAGGAUUAAAUAAUCUUUGAACACAGUGCACUAAAGAAAAGUGAGAGCUUUCUCUCUCUCUCUCUCUCUCAUCCUCUUAAGUUGUACAACUUUCAUUUGGUUCAUUAUUAAAAUUUCCAUCUCUUUGCUUGUAUUUGUUAUCUUUUCACUCAUGAUCAUGUUUGCCUUAAAAUUUUGAACACCUUUUUAGGGAGUUUUUUCGAGUUUUUAUCUGUUACUUACAUAUUUGGGCUAUCUUAUAUGUUUCUAUUCAUAUAUAUGCAAUAAUCUUAGAAGAAAAGAGCUAGAGAAAAAAAUAAUUUAAGAGAUAUAUUAAUAUAAUAUAUUAAUAAAAUAUAUUUUAUCUUUUCUUUUGAUAUUUGAAGGCACAAUUUUGAAAGCUAAAAUAAUGCUGUGUUGGAAGUGUUCUAACAUACAUAAAUUAAUCUAUAUUUAGAACAGUACUCAGAAUGGGGCAAGGCUACCUAUAACUGUAGUGGGAUGGGACUCUUACAUUUUACAAAAGGCAGUACUAUAUUAACUCUAAGUGGAAUGUGAUUGUUAUUUAGUUUUUCCAGUGCUAGGGAUCCAAACCAUAGCCUCAUCCAUGCUAAGCCAGUGCUUUGCCACUGAGCUACACCUCCAGUCCAAGGAAUGUGAUUAACUUAUAAAUACUCAUUGCAAUCACAGAACAAUCACUGAAAAUGAGAGAAAUAUGGUGAAAAUAUUCAUAACAAACUUAAAAUUUGAUAAUAAAAAGUAUUAAUCCAAAGGACUGCAGGAAAGAAUGAAGAAAGGAACAAAGAGAUACAUAGAGAACAAAUGGCAAAGUGGUAAGCCUAAAUCCAGUCGUACUAGUUUUUUGGUUGUUUUUUUUUGUUUUUGUUGUUGUUUUAGCCAGGGAUUGAACUCAGGACCUUUCAGUUGCAAGGCAGGUGGGGCACCACUGAGUUAAAUCCCUGACCCCUACUAGUUAUUUUAUAUGCUUGUUUUUCAUUGCCUUGAUUGGAUGAACACUAGGUAAGGUUUGUUUUUUAUUUAAGUUUCUUUGUAAUUGUCUUUAAAUCUCAUUGAUUUUAUACUACUUUUGUAGAUUCAAGUAGAUUUUCUCAUCCUGUGCAUUAUGCCUUUCACCUGUUGAAAGCUGUUUUUUUUUUUUUUUGUCUCAGACAUGUCUGUCUUUUAAGGAAAUAUUUAGUCAUGUUAUCUUUCUUAUUUUAAUGGCUUUGUAACUUGGUAAUAUCUUCUAUUUUUAAAAUUAAUUAAUUAAUUAAUUACUUUAUUUAUUUUGCGGUGCUAGGGAUUGAACCCAGGGCCUUUUACAUGCCAGGUAAGGCCUAUACCACUGAGCUGCAUCCCCAACCCUGUCUUAUUAUUAUUAUUAUUAUUAUUAUUAUUAUUAUUAUUAUUGGUAAUCUUGGUUUGCCUGUGUAAUUUUGUUAUUUUACAUUUCUUGUUUCUUCUUAAAUGACUUGUAUUUUUUUUUAGUUUGAUCUUUUAAAAUACAACUUUUGUUUUAUUCCUCCAUUGAAGUUGUUUAAAAGAUAUUUUGUAUGGUGUUUUGUUAAAUUUAGGUUACUUACAUAUCGUAUAUGGUGAAAUCAACAUUUUUAUUUGAUAUACUUAGUAGAGGCUUUCUUAUUUAAAAGAAGAAAAUAACAUUGCUACCAAUUCUUUAUUCAUGUAGUAAGAUAAUUUGAUAGGUUACACACAAAUCUUGCAUAGUGAAAUCACUAUUUUUAUCUGAUAAACUUAAAGGUUUCCUUAAUAAAGGCUGUGAAAGAAUAAUCUAGAAAUUCCUAUUCAUGUAACAAAAUAAUCAUUAUUAUAAUAAAUGCUUUCAUGUAUUGAGUGCAUACUUAAUAGUAGUAGAUUCUGUGCUGAAAUGAUUAUAAACUUUGUCUUUUACAAAAUAUUUGUGCGGGGGGCCAGGAUUUAGCUCAGUGGCACCACGCCUGCCUUGCAAGUGCAAGGUCCUGAGUUCAAUCCCUGAGGGGGAGGGAGAUUGUUUUAGCUCGGCAUGGUAGCAUUUGCCUGUAAUUCUGGUGCUUGGCACGCUAAGGCAGGAGGAUCACCACGAGUUCAAGGCUAGCCUGAACUAUAUAGUGAGACCUUGUCUCAAAAAUAUUCUUUCAAUUAUGCCAUGUCACACAUAAUAUUAAUUUGACAUGUAUAUAAUAUAAUACAGUUGACAUAUGGAUUUAUAUAAUGAGGAUACACAUCUGCCUUCCUCAAAUUGCUCUUUUGAGUAUUAAAGACAUUAUGUAGAUACAGCACCUUGGAAAAGUCUGGAAUAAGGUUACACAGUGAUCAAAUACUUGGAACAGCAAGAAUAAUGAUAGUCACUAUAAUGAGCUAUUAUGCAUUGUUGUUAUCCACAAACCAGCUUCAUUCUGUAGGCAUAAUACGCAGCUUUAGUCUCAUAGGCACUUAGUACAUUUUUGCAGUUAUAUUAAAUUACAUAAUCUGAACAAAUACAUUGAAGUACCGAAGUCAAAUUAUCAUGCUUGCUCUACACAUUCUGAUAUGCAGCAGUAGAUACCGUGUGGUCAACAGUUACCUACAGGAGAAACUUGGUUGUCGCCUGCCACUUGCUCCAUGGUGCCCAUUCACAUAUGCUGCUAGUCCCCUUUUCCAUUGUAUUUUGUUCCCAAGAAGAAUUGUCCAAGAAAGUCUCCUGAAAUACUUCCUUAAUCUUAGUAUUAUUGACCCUUCUUUCCUUUUAUGAUAAUUUAUUUAAAAACUGAUGAAAUAGGUGAGGGAUUUAGCUCAGUGGUUCCGCCGCCGGCCUUGCAAGUGCAAGGACCUGAGUUCUAUCCUUGGUACAAAAAAAAAGAGUUAAGAAUUGAUGAAAUAGUAAAAUUUCUUAAUAAUACAACUAAUAAAUUCACAAAAAAGAAACUAUUAAUAUUCCUACCUAUGUUAAGGACAUUGAAUCCAUCAUCAUAAUACUUGCAGACAAAAAUGUACCACACUUAAAAAUCCCACUGAUAAAUUUUUGCAAAUAUUUAAGGAAAAUAUAUAAUUAAUUUUGAAGAUAUCUAAAUUCUUCUAACUGGAUGGUGAAAUGUAAAAUUCACUUGCAGAAAAUAAGGGUGGAAUAAUUAUUCAAAUUAUGUGACAUAUUAAAGGUACUGCAUCACAACUAUUGGGGUUUAAGACAUGAAAGGCGUUUCUGAUUUUCCUUUAACAUAAAAAGUAUUCAAAUUUUCUGCUUUCAACUCAUGCGUAAAGAGCUUACAAGCUACUGUUUCUGUCCUUAUAACAAGAUAAAGCAGAAAAAGUUGAGAAAAAAAUCACAUCAGUUAUUCAGUUAUUCAGACCCAUCUGAGAACUGAGGUUUCAGGGAAACUUCCACUCCAAAAUCUGGAGACACAGACUGAGAUACAACUGAGAUUUGAUAAUUGGAGCAGAAGCCACUAGAGUAGCCAUUUAGAAGAAUUCCUGGGCUGGUUGUAGAGUAGGCUGAAAGGGAGAGAGCCUCAAAGACCUCACCUUUGGGGCGUUACCUCCUUGGAACCUGAAUAGGUUCUCACAGUGACAAGCUUAAAUAGGAUCCGCUUGUGGUUCGGGAAGGUAACGAGUGUAGUCAUCACUGUGAAAUAUAGUUAGAGUGUUUUCCACAACCAAAGCCCAGUCUCCAGGAGAAAUGCUUUACCCACAGCCUUAUCCCACUUGGGUGAGGGGCAUUCUUCUCAUGCCUGCUUCUAACUUUUAAUGGUUUUACCAAUCAAAAAAUUUAAAGACUCACAAGUGUUGACAGAGGUCAGUGCUUCAAGGAAAUAGGUACACUACAGCCAAGGGAAGAGGGUAGAGAAAAAGAAGCAUUUGAGAAGAUUACAAACCCAAGACAGGUACACUAAACAGAUUAAUUCAAAAGACUAGAACUCUCAGUGUUCCCCACAUUGUAGCACAGCACAAAUAGACUAAUAAAAACAAAGAGUUAUAGUUGACAGAGUUGUAAUACACCAAUUGUCUCAGAGCAUUUAGGAAGCUCAAAGUUAAGAGGAGAAACAGAUGCUAGAGGAACUUAUUACCUCUGGUGCCUCUAGCAACUGCAGCCAUUAAAUACAACCAAACUCCUAGUCAGAUAGUCAUAAAUCUCUAAAGACCUCUUUACCUCAGUUCUUACUAUGGAGACAACUCAAAGGAAAAUCACAAUUUGUGUAAUUUGACAAAAAUGUGAAGAGACAAAGCAAUUAGCAGAAUGGACUCAAUACAGAUAUUGGAAUUAUCAAUGGGGAAUUCUAAAUAAACAAGAUUAGUAUGUUAAGAAGUUCUGAUGGAAAAGAAGACGUAAUAUUCUGCAGCAGAGAGAUGGGAACUAUAAGAACCCCAAAAGAAAUGCUAAAAAUAAAAAACCACUGUAAUAUAAAUAAAUCCUUUCAACAGACUCAUAAUUAGAUUAAACAGAGCCAAGGAAAGAAACAGCAAUGUUGAAGAUAGUCAGCAGAGAUUUCACAAAAAAAAUACAAAGGAAAAAAAAAGGAAUUUAAAAAAAGCAUUUAAGAACAGUGGAACAAGAUAUCACGUAAUUGAAAUACUGAAAGGAGAAGAAUAUGAAACAGAAGAAAUGUUUGAAGUAAUAAUGGCCAAAAAAUUUCCAAAUUUGAGGACAAACACCAAGCCACAGAUCCAGGAAACUCAGAGAACACAAAGCAGUAAAAAUAAAAUAAUAACAAACUCAGGCAUUUCAUAUUCAACCUGCAGAAAAUCGAAAACAAACUCUUGAAAGAAGCCAGAAGAAGACCUUAUCUCAAGAACAAAGAUAAGAAUUACAAUGAACUCAUCAGAAACCAUUUAAAUAAAGAAGAAAGUGAUUAUUUAAAAUUUUUAAAUCAGUGUGGAGGGGAGGAAUCAACAUAGAAAUCUGUAUUCAGUAACACUGUCUUCAAAAGUAAAGAAUAAAUAAAGAUACUCAGGAAAGACAAAAACAAAGACUAUGUUGCCAGCAUACCUACCCUAUAAGAAAUGUUAAAAGUUUUUUAAUCAGAAGAAAGAUUAUACAGAUAAAAACCUUGAAAAGAAAAGCAGUGGAAAAGGAAUAAGUGAAGUAAAAGCAAAUCUAAUUUCAUUAUUCUUAAAUGAUCUAAACAAACCUUUCCUAAAGGGAUGAUAGUAAUAGAUGAUUAUGGAUAUAGAUACGUGAAAGAAUAACAGCAGUGCUUCACAAGGUGGGGAAGAAAUUGGGAACAUCUUGCUCCAAGGUAUUGCAUGGUAUGUGAAGUGGUAUAUUAUAAUUUGAAGAUGGGUUUAGAUUAGUUAAAAAAUGUAAAUUUUGAGGAAAUCUGUAAAAAGAUUAGGAAGAAGGAAUAAUUGAUAGCUAAGAGGUCAAAGUGAAAUCAUGUAAAAUGGUCAAUAAAAGUAGUGCAGUAAAAUAGGGUGAUAUAAAGAAAUAGAAUAAUACAAUGAUUAGAAAACCCAAGGAACAUAUUCAACUAUAUAAGGAAACACUUUAAAUGUGAGUCAUAUAAAAGAUUGCUAGAAUGGAUUACAACAACAAAAUCCAAUUAAAUGUUGCCUACAAGAAGCUUACUUUAAAAUGAAAGAUUUAGACAGGUCAAAAGUACACCUUGGUAACACUAAUCAAAAGAAAGCUGGAUUGGCUUCUGACUUCAGACAAAGCUGACUUCAGAGCAAGGCAUGAAGGGUGGCAUUACAUAUUAAGAAAGGACCAAUUCUGCAAGGAGAUAUGACAACUGUAUUACCUAAAGACAGUGUCAAGACACAUGAGGCAGUAGUUAAUAGGACUGAAAAAAUUGAGAAACUCACCACUAUAGUCAGAGGCUUCAACCUCCCCUUGUUAGUAAUCAAGCAGUCAGAAAACAGUAAAGAUGUAGGUGACUUGAAAAGCACUAUCAAUUAAAUUGUCUGACAUUUGUAGAAUACUUUAUCCAACAAUGAGUACACAUUUUUUUAAUACAUUAAAUAUUUACCAAAUCAUAUUAUGUGACAUAAAACAGACCUUAAUAAAUUUAAAGUAUUAUAAAUCAUAACUGAGUUUUCAGAAUACAAUGAAAUAAAACUAGAAACCAAUAAACAUAUAUUUGAGAAAUCUCCAAAUAUUUAUAAAUUAAACAAUACAUUUCUAAAUAACAGAUCAAAUAAGUCAUUAGAGAAAUUAAAAAAUAUGAACUAAGUUCAAAUAAAAAUACUACUUAUCACAAUUUGUUGGAUGCAGUUAAAGCAAUGUUACAGGAAAAAUUUUAGUAUUAAAUUCAUAUAUAUAUUAGAAAAGAAAGAAGAUCUAAGAUCAGUAAUCUAAGCUUCCACCUCUGAAAAACAGAAGAGCACUGUAAACCUCAAGCAAACAGAAGAAAAGAAAUAAUAAGUUUUAGAAUAAAAUUAAUGCAAUUUAAAACAUGAAAAUAAUGUAAAAAAAUCAAAACAAAAAGUUAAAAGAUCAAUAAAAUUGCUGAACUUCUAGUCAAGCUAAGCAAGGGAAAAAGAAAAUGACCAAUAACAGAGAUAAAUGAGAGGUCAUAAGUACAUUAAAAGGAUAAAAACAAUGCUCUGAACAACUCCAUGUUCCAAAAUUUGAUCACUUAAAUGAAACUAAAUUUCUUGAAAGAUACAAACUACCAAAACUGGACUGGGCAUGUAGCUCAGUGGUACAGCACUUACUGAGCCUGUGGUAGGUCCUGAGAUCAAUCUCCAGUGCUGUUAAAAAAAGAAAAAACCUACUAAAACUCACAGAAGAAAUAGAUAACCUGAAGCCCUACUAAUGAAAUUGAAUAAUUAAUAAUUUUCCAAAAAGAAAGUACUAGGCUGAGACAGUUUUAUUGGUCAAUUCAAACAUUUAGGGUAAAAUAAUACUGAUUCUCUGCCAUUACAUCCAGAUGUAAGAGCAGAGGUAACACUUUCUAAUUCACUGCCUCAAACCUUCAUUACCCUAACACAAUAACCAGACAGGAAUUACAAGUAGGGAAAACUAUACACCAUUUGAUAAAGUCUAAAACCCAUUGAUGAUAAAAAAAAAAAAACUCAGCAAAGAAUUCAAGGAAAUGUCCUUAAAGAAAUGUUGAGAACAUCUGAAAUAUCCCUAGAGCUAAUAUAUGUGUAGGGCGAGAGACAGAAUGAUGAUUUCAGCAAUAAGGCAAAAAUACCCAUAGAAUAUUUACAAGAUUCCAAUGCAGCAACACACUAGAAGUCUUAGCUAAUGUAACAGGACAAGAAAAAGAAAUGAGACAUACAGAUAUCAGUGAAAGAAAUGAAACUAUAUUCAUAGGUCACAUGAUUGUUUAUGGAGAAAAAUUUUGAAGAAUCUACAAAAGAAAAAUGUACUAGAGCUAAUAGGUGAGUGCAGCAAAGCUAAAGGAUACAAGUUCAAUAUACAGACGCCCAUUGCUCUUGUAUAUAAGUAAAGAGCAAUUUGAAUGUUAAAUUGGUAAAGGUUUUUUGCCUAAAUAUAUGAAGAACUUUUAAAAUUCAACAAUAAAAAAACUCAGUUUUAAAUGGGCAUGAAAUUUGAAAAGAUACCUCACCAAAAAUACAUACAGAAAAUAAAUAUGGAUAUGUAAGGAUUUGCAAUAUUGUUUGUUAUUAGGCAAAUUAAAUAAGAUACCACUACACAUAUGAUAGAGUGGCUAAAAUCCAAAGAUCUGAUGAUGUCACGUACUGACAGAGACAAGUAUUCAUUGGUGGCAGAAACUCAAGAUGGAACUUGAGCAGUGGAUUACAGUAUUAAAUAUAUAUCUGCAGCCAGUCUGAAAAGAUACAUAAUGUGUGCUUUCUUUUACGUGACGUUCUGGAAAAGUCAAAACUAUAGAUAAAGUAUCAGCAAUUGGCAGGAGUUCAGAUAGAGGGGCUAGAAUUUAAUUUUUAAAAAGCACAGUGAAUCUAUUCUGCAUGUUACUAUAAUUUUCUACACAUGAUAUCAUGUAUUUGUCAAAACCUAUAGAACUUUACAACUUGAAGUGAACUUUAAUGUACACAAAUUUAAGAAAAUAAUUUAGGAGGAUGGAAGAUCCCAGGAUGGAAUACCGAAUGUGGCAAAAUAACUCAGCUGUAUUGCAAACAUAUGAAAUGACCUUACUAAUAAGACUGAGUAGGGUGGGAGAGAUGCUGAUUUAUAUAACUUUUGGAAGACUCAGUGGAAUCUGUAAAACUAAAGGCAAAGUGAGUGUAGAUGAACACAGUUGUCUACUUGAUAAGGUUGUUUCUAUGGAUGUAUAAGUUAGUAAUUUUGAAGCUUGUGCCUGUAUACUAGAACUAGACAAAUAAACAAUGGUUGACAGAUGAUAUAAGUUUUCUGUUAGAGUAGAAAGCUACAGACAAGCAAGGAGAAAAAUCUCCAAUGAUCCAUGUUGUAAUGAAUUGGAAACCUUAGUAUAAAUUCAUGUUUAAUGUACUUACAGAUGAUUAUGUACAUAAAUAUAAAUGUGAUUAUACAUAGUCAUUGUCAUAUACACACAUUUCUUUACUCUGUCAGCUGAGGUGCAGAAACAAUGACAUUCUAACAACCAUGGGUAUACAUUGAACUCAUAUUUUGGUUUCCAACAUAAUUCUCCAGUAAAAUAACCCAGGGACUCUUGUAGAAGUGGCUGAUUCUAAGACUGGGUGGGAAAUGUAUAAGAUGAGUCCAGAAUAUUUUGUAGUGCCAGAGAGUAAGGAAGUACUAACAAUAAAUAAUUGAUAACCCCACACUGAUGGGAAUAUAUCAAAGACACAUAGAAACUAACCAAAAUAGUUCCUAAUUAUCAAAGGGCCAAUCACAAAACAACAAACAGCAUAAAUUUGGAUUGUAACAAAAGUAUAAAAUUAAUACUCAUGAAUCCUUAGUGAUAUAAAUAAUUAAAUAAAUAAAUAAAAGUGGGGAGAAGAAACAAAUUUCUUCUGCAGAAGAAUUCCAAAUAAUUUUUGUAAAUACUUUUUCUCCAAGGAGCAUUGCAUAAAUCCUCACUUCUCAAAUGUGGGCUGUGUACGAUGACUUUCUUCUAAAGAGUACACUAUGAAAAUGGGCAGGGGUGGGAGGACUGUGGCAAAGGAAGAGUAACUUUACAAUGGAAAAACCUGACCAGUGCUAUCUCAGAAUAGUGAGCAAAGUGAACAUCAACAGUGAAUCAUGUUGACAAUAUGACCCUUAAUAUGAUAUGAUGAUAAUUAUACUUUACUUCUGUUAUCUUUCCCCUCAAAACCCAUAAGGCCAAUACAAUCAUGAGAAAAUCAUCAAGCAAAUAUCACUUAAGAGACACUUACUUGAGCAGUUUGCCUCAAAAUUAUGAAGGUCGUAAAAAAAAGUUUGAGAAUGUGCUACAGCCAAGAAGAGACUAAGACAAAACAACUAAAUCAAGUACUGGAUAAUAGGGUAAUAGGACACUAGAUAAAAGCCAUGAAAUCUGAAUAUACUGCAUUUUUGUUAAUAAUUUAUCAAUAUUGGCUCAUUCAGUGUGGCAAAUGUAUUACUAUAUUAGUAAUCAAGGAAAGUGGGAAUAGGUUAUUUGAGAAUUUUGUGUUAUCUUCACCAUUUUUUGGUAAAUUUAAAGCUUUUAAAAAUGGAAUUAGGGGCUGGGGAUUUAGCUCAGUGGUUGCGCCACCUACCGUGCAAGUGCAAGGACCUGAAUUCGAUCCCUGGUACCAAAAAAAAAAAAAAAAGGAAUUAAAACGCAUUCAAUGUAAUUUACCAAAGUAACACAAGAGAAGAAAAUGAUAGAUAAUAAAUAAAGAAAAGGGAUUUGACAUACAAAGCCUAUUCUUCAUAAGUCUCUUUAUUGGGAACUAGGAACUGAACAAAAUCUUUUAAUAAAGAGUAUUUACAAAAGAAGUCAAUUCUAAGACCAUUUGUAAUGGAGAAACUGAAAGCUUUCUUUAGAGAAUGGGAAUAAAACAGUGAUUUUUCACUUACCAUUUCUAAUCAACACUACAUUGCAUGUCUUAACUAGUACAGUCAGUCAUGGGAUAAGAAUUGAAAAUAGAAAUGCAUAGAUUUCAUUACUCAGAGACAGAAAAUAAUCUGAACAAAAGCAAUGAAAAUUAGCAAGUUAACUGAGUAAAGUUGCUAGAUUAAAAAAUAAAUAAUAUAAAAUGUAUGUCUAUGUGAAGUAAAAAAAAAUGAAAAUUUAAAAACAUUUUCAGGAACAUCAGAGCUAUCAAUUACAUAGGAAAAGAUCAUGUAAAGCAUUAUCAAAUAUUAUGGAAAGGAAGUAAAUAAUAUCUUAAAAAUGGAGAGAUAUAAGUAUUUGGAUUGGCAGAUUCACCUAUGUAGAGAUGUCAGUUCUCCAUAAAGUUCAUUUAGAGAUCCAAGUAAUUUGAUUUCAAGAAUUAUAUAGAAUCCAGAGUCGAGAUGUUAAGUGAAAUAAAUCAGACACAUAAGGUUAAAUAUAGCAUGGUUUCUUUCAUAUGAGAAACUCAAAAUAUAAAUAAAGAGCAAAAUAAAAUAUAAGUAGGGAGAUAGUUCUUCACAAAGGGGAAGGGAAUCGAGAGAUGGAGAAAAGGGAGGGGAAGGGUUUUUUUAAAAAAGAAAUUAAAUGUGUUAUAUACAUGUAUCAACUCCACACAGGGAAUAUAAACAUUAUGUACUGUAAAUGUGCUAAUAAAAAUAAAAAUUACAAAAGAGAUUGUCUCAAAUAUGAACAAGGGCACAUGAAUUAAAUUACCAAACUUGAAGGCCUAUUAUAAAAUUAUAGUGUACCCAUAAAAAACAGAAAAAUGCAGUGGGACAACAUAGAGAUUCCACCAGCAGAUAGACAGGUAUAAUUGGUUGACUGAUGAUGAAAGUAGCACUGACAAAUGGUGAGGAAAGGAUGGUCUAAUUCAACAAUUGGUGCCAGGUAUACUGUAUACAGGUAUACAUAUCAAUAUAGAAAAAAAUGAAUCCUUUUCAAACCACGCAAAGAAAAUCAUUUUUCUAGGUGUAACAUUCAUCUACACAUGAAAAGGGUUAUUGGACAUAACAGAGGAAAAUAUCAUUAUAACUUUGGGGGAAAUGAAAAAACAAAAGGAAAUACCAAUAACACCAUUAAUGAAAAGAAUGAUGAAUCAAUUUAUAUCAAAAUUAAAACUUGUUUAUCAAAGUCUGUAUUCAUUGAAGAACCAUUGUAUACAGACAUAGUAAACUUUUACAUGUCAAAAAGUGAAAAAUAAAACAUUUAAGUAGGCACUUCAAGAUGGAGGAUAGCCAAUGGCCAGUAAAUGUAUUCAAGGUCAUUAUCCAUGGGGAAAGUAAUAAUUCUAACAGUAGUCAGGUAAGUUUAAUACCACCUGUACACCUAAAAAUUUAAAAUUAGCUCCAUGUGUUUAGAAUAUUCUUAUUCUCUAAAGUUGAAAGGUAACAUCAUUCUCUCAGGCAUAUAGCUAACAAAAAUUCUUACAUGUAUAACCUAAAAUUUGUGUCAUCAAUACAUGUAGUGGCAUCAUUUCUAAGAGCAAAAAUUGAAAACAAAAGGCCUAGAAGGGGUUCAAGGGAUAAGUAAACCUUCAAAUACACCGAGAUUCUUCCAAGGAACAUGAAUAUUAUUAUGGCUAAUUCUGCUACCUGGGUGACUCACAUAAAAGCUAUGAACCUCAUGAAAAGAAAUUUAUUAUUGAGAUGGGACCUCAUCAUUUUGCCCAACCUGGUCUCCAACUCCAGGGUUCAAACAGUGCUCCUUGUACUUCAGCCUCUCAAGUAGCUGGGACUACAGGCACAAGCCACUGAGCCUGACAAUUUAAGCUUAUACCUGAGCUUUGCUUUAAUUGAAAAUCUUUUGGUUCAUUGAGAAAUUUUUUGAUUCUUUGAUGUCAUCUCUAUGGUGUGAUAUUACCUAUUCCCAUAUUCUUGGCUCCAUUAGAAUAUAAAUUGUAUGUGUGGGGUUCAAAUAAUAAAUCUCUUGUGGGAAACUUAUUUUGUCCAUCUCUGAUUCCUUCCAAUGUGAGGAUCUUUCUGUUUUAACUUGAUUUUAAUGAUCUAUUCUCAUAAUUUUUUGAAAAUUUAUCUCAGCUCUUUUCCUGUGACUUUUGGUGUUGCAGUAAAUCUGGCUGGCAGCAUAUGCACCAUCACAUGUAUUAAGCUUUGGCAACUGAUUAAUUCCAGGUACACCUUUGAUCUAGUGAAGACUCUCUUCUAAGACCCUUGGUUCAUUCUUUCAGACAAUCUGAACAUCAUUAUGAGUUCUUCUUCUUUAAGAGUUGCUCCUGAGAAUAUUUUCACAUUUUACCUGAGCUUGCUUUGACUAAACAUUGAGAAAAUUUUGUGAUUCAUUGUUAUCAUUUCUAUGGUGCUAUAUUUCUUUGGAUCUAAAUAUGCAAGUACAUAAAUUCAUCCCUGUUAUGUUGUUUUGGUCUGCACUGUGAUACUAUGUCUGCAGACCCUGAUGAACUAUGAACAUUCGAUGAUCCUGUCAGUUCACUCAGAGGAUUGAGGUCCAGAUGUCUCUUUGACCAUGGGUGUAAAAUUCUGUAAAAGAGGAGCUUCCUGAUGUCUGACUUAUUUUUUAGGAACAGUACCCAUGAGAUACAGUUCUCAUCUUUGGCUAUUGUCCUACUCCUGUCCUCUUGAUAAAGACUACUAAGGAAGAGAUCUGGCUUCCUACAGCAGGGAUAUGUGAGCCCCACCCAAACUAACUUCACUGAAUCUGUCCAACUUCAGUGCAUCUUGGCAUAAAGAUUUAAAGAUUCCAAUCCUGGUUAGAAUUUUCAGGAACAAGUAGAUAUAAGGAAGGGGAAUGCCAUGUCUUGAGUCAGUAGGAGGUUUGAUGACUUAAAGUUUAUACUCAUAAGCAUGCUGAUAUAAAUUCUUGAGAUGUGGGGAUAUGCAAAAAAAUAGCUAUGGAAGAAGGGAUUAUUCAGAGAAAAUAUCAAGUAGUCACUGAGAAGUUAGACAAGAGCCUGGUCACAGAAUGCAAGCAUCAGUUUGACGAGUGGUUGCUCUAUUUGGAAGAAAGAGAAUAAAAUUGAAUCAGGCUCUAAAUAGAAAGCGGGGACUGAAAUUACAGUGUCAUAUAUAUCAACUUAUUUUUUGUCUCAACAUGAGGAACAUUGACCCAAUUCUUUUGGAAUUUCACACCUCAGAUGCUUGUUGGAAUUACCUAGGACUGCUGGCAGGAACUAAAAUGUUAGGAUCCAUAUGCCCUUUUCUCUAGCUGGUAGUAGGUAUCUUAAGAAUUAUUUUCAAGUGCCCUGGGGAGAGCUACAAAAGCCUUUCCAAAGUGCUCUGCAGUGUGUUUUCAAUCCACAGUCCUACACAUGGCCGUGCUCACUGACUGCUGGAUAAAGUCCUGUCUCCUGAUGGCCUUGACUAAUAGAACAGGCACAGGAAGGCCCAUGAGAACACGGAGGAAGUGCAAGGCCUCAGGCCAGGCCUUGCUGUGUGCAGCCCCUCCAGCAGAGCGGGUUGGUCCUUGUGCCUUGGAACCCAAUGUGAGUGACUGCUCACAGCCCUACUUAGCCCCUUGGAAAUGAACUAAGCCAAAUACUGUUCUCUAUGGAGAAGCUAGGUGAUUUUCCCCGAUGAUUUUCACCACAGUUGAUUGCCACAUUUUCUAAAUUUCUGUAUAACAGUCUCUGGGUAUAUCAGAAUAAACCUCAGACCCCCUACAUUUUUAUAGUAAUUUUGUUGCCAGGAAUGCAAAUAAUACUAAGAGAAAAAGUAGAUAUUUGGCAACAAAAGGUAGUUUCUUACAUAGUGGCGGUAGCAAUGCGGCUUUGGGAAAAUAUGGAGAAAGAGAAGAUAAAAAUGGACUUAAAACUGCAACGUUAGCUGCCCACUUAUAAUUAUUCACAAAGGGAUCAGAGCAUUAUUUAGGGCCACCAACAAAUAAAAGGGCACAGUUAAUGGAAAAUUAGUAGUUACUAUAGUAAAUAAAAUAGAGUCUACCAGCCAUGUCCAACCUACAGCCCACAUUUUCCUCCAUUUAAAAAAGAAGUUAUAAUAAAAAAUAAAGCUUUGUUAUUUGUAUCCAUUAACUAUUUUAUGUAUUUUAUAUAUGACCUAGGACAAUUAUUCUUCACUCAAAGAGGAAGAACAAAAAAGGCUGCCGAUUAACUAUGCCUGGUAGACGUUAGAAAUAGGAAUCACAGAAAAUAAUGAGAAAGAUAUAAGAGAUGUAGUCUAACUCUGAAGCUUUCUCAAGAGGAUCUUCCCUACUCAAUAAAGUCAAACAAGAAAUAAUUGAGGGCACGGUGGUGCAUGCCUGUAAUCCCAGCACUCAGGAGGCUGAGGCAGGAGGAUUGCUGCAAGUUUGAGACCAGCCUGAGCUACAUAGUGAACUACAUAGUGAGGCCCUGUCUCAAAAAACAAAAACAAACACAACAACAACAACAACAACAAAAAACAUUGGCAAAUGGUGUGAAUGAAUGGGCAACAUUGAUAUAAGGGAACCUUAAAUCUUGGAAUUGGAUUCACUUAUGCAUCUUUUUCCUGUCCUAACAUUUUCUUACCUUUUAUUGCAGAUAGUGGAGCCAUGCACUCCAUCUCUACCGAUCUUUCUUAUCUUACCCUAUCCCAGAAAAACAUCCAAGAUGUGGAUAUUUCUGGCCUACCUUCUAUUUCUUCUUUUUCUUCUGAGAUUCCUAUGCAAAUAAGUCCUCUAUUACAAUAAUAUGGCUUAUUUCUCAGUGUAUCUGACAAUCUAUCAGGAAGGAUCCUGCUGUGUAAGGUAUGGGCUGUGCUAUUUUGUCUGGUUGGUAGUGUCGUUUUGGAGCUCCUAGCAUGCAUGUGUUCUAGGUUGGUAGAUAUGUCCCUUCUGAAGUGAAACGUGGGUGUGGGAGAGCAGCGUUCUCCCCUCUGCUGGAACAGUGCUCCAAAUUACAUGAAACAGACCCAUUGUUAUAGGACCUACAUACAAGUGGUAGUGGUUUAACAAAGGGGAUCAAUACCAUUGUUGUAACUUACAAAAAAAAACCUUGGCCAUGUUGAGAAACUAUUUUAGCUCUAGUAUAAUGUAUGAAACAAGUAAUUAAAAAGUAGAGAAGUAGGGCAUAAUAUAGAUGGGACAUUCACACCAUACUAUUCCCAUAUUACCUACAAGAAAGGGACAAUUUAACAAGGAAUGUCAUUCUGUAUAUAGGUUUGUACAUGGCUUGAGAGAAGUAAAUAAGUUGCGCUGCUUCUGACAUCUGUGGCACCCAACCUUGCCACUCUUUAAUGCCUGUUCCUGACUUAACUAAGUGGAUUCCCAUGGCAGACUUAUAUCCAACUUUGAGUAUGAUGACUUCAACCAAGAAGUCAGGGCUUAACUUGACUUGAGUUUACCUACUCACUGUGGGGACAUUUGAUUUAUGGCUAUGAAUCUCCAUGAUUCAAAUUCACCCACUAUAUUCUCUUGCCAUUUACAUAAAAAGUUAAUGAAUUUCCCUUACCUUGAAUUUCCAUGCUAAUCGCUAUUGGUAGUUGAUAAUACUCUGCAUGCUAGUAAAGAAGGCAUCUUAAUUAUACUAAAUUUCUUACUCUCCUGGGACAUAAAGCCUCCCUAGAUAAGUUUAAAUGUUUUCAAACUGAAGCCAGAUAUUUGGGAUGUGGAUGGUGGUUGUAUCUUGAAGCCACCCUAAUGUAAAAAUGAAGUAACAUGCUACAAAAGGAAGCAACUUACCCAGUUUUGAGAGUUGGUGGUUGAUUCCUGCCUCAGUUGAAAGACUGAGCCUUACUGAGCUGUUCCAUGAAGCAUCACCAGGACUUCCUAUUAUCGUCAAAACAAGCCAGAGGAGGCUUUCACAUCCUUGAAGUAGGAGUUAUGUCCCUACCUGCAUUAAAAGUUGUAACCUUAAUCAACUGUUCUAGCUUUUCUGUCAUGAGAUUUAGGGUGCUUCUAAUGACAUACCUACCCAAAAUUAGGCCUUGAUUAUAGGGACACUGUUUACUUUCUGGGUUAUUGGUUUCUGUUGAUCCGGGGGUACAGCAAUGUUUAUAGCAGCAGCCACUCUCCUGACCGAAGAGGCUCAGGCUUUGACUCUGGGAAAUUUGACUUAUACUUCAGGCUGUUUUAUUUCACAAGUUCAUGGGAUGCAAUCCCUGCCACACUAGAUAUACACACAUCUUUACUGCCUAAUCCUAACGCUGUCCUAGUCAGGUAUAAACUUGACAGGAACUCUAUAGCCAGAUCCUGAUAAUAUAGGUUUGAACAUGCCUCACAAUCACUGAGGACUACGCCAGACUUUGGUGACUCUUUUUAAUAUUCCUGUCGCCACACUGCCUAAACACCUACUGAUUUAGCCUGUGUGAGAGCCUUGUGCAUAGUAGUUAACCCUCAUGAAGUGUCCAAGUGGCAGAACUUGUAACUGUGAAUCUGGCCUUAAAUUAGCUGGUGGAUACCCAGUAAUUACAUGUUUGUGGUCUAUUAUGUGACUGUCAACUUGGGAAGAAUAGGGGCCUUCUAAUAUCAAUAGAAACUAGAAUAUUACAUAGAAAACUACUGGUGUAUGAGAGUCAUUCAAACUUCUCUAACAGAUUUAUGUAAUUUAUUGUAGAAUUCACAAUGGAAAACAAAAUGAAAUAUAAAAGAAAUUGCAUACCAGCCUGGAAAAGGGUUACUAAGAUUUGGGCUGGGGAAAUUGAACACCCAUUAUAUGUCCACUGAGGAGCUCCUAUUCAUAGUUUGAGGAGUAGCUAACUUUCUAAGAAUUAGAAAAUUAGAAAGCAAGGAAAGCUAAGAAGACUACCACAGAAAAUAAAUAUUUCAUGAGUCUGUACCUUUACUCCAAUUGCUGUAAUAUAGAGACUUUUUCAUGCUCACCAACAAACUAAGCAAAAGGAGUACACUGAAAACUUUGCAAUCUUACAAUAAUUGUAAUUGGAUCAAACAAUUCGGAAAAUAUUACAAAAACAUAAUGUUUGUCAGAAAAAAAAUCUUUACAGAGUAUACGUAAAACAAGUUAAGAAAGCCUGUGAAGAUCAAUGUUCUAUAAUGUCUAUGAUGUUCUAUAAUGUCAUCAGACCAUUAUAGAGCUCCUGCCUUUAGUAGGAAUAAAAAGUUUUUUCAUAAUGCUACAUAUUGAGGCCAGGAUGUACUAAAUCAGAUGUGGAGUAAACAAGCACUCAUGGAAUCAUAUCUCAAUAUUUCUGAGUAUCUAGAAUACAAUAAGGGAAGUCAUUUUAGAGCUAACACAAUGCAAUAGCUUUGCAUUGCAUUACAAAUAACUGGCCUACUUUUCAUCGUCCUCAUUCUUCUGCACAAAUGGAACGGGGGACCCAUACUUCAGAGAUUUUCUUGGCUAAAUUAUAUUGAGCCAUUGGCUUAGAGUGGCCCCAUGGCUUACCAUUUGCUUCAUUAAAAAUAAAGUUAAUUCUCUGUAGCAGUCACGGCAUUUUUUUCUUGAGUUUCCUUUGAGUUUGGAAACUCUAUGAAUCUUGAGUUUAAGCCUAACACAUUGUCUAAUAUGAUGAAAACCACUCCUGAUCAGAUAUGCUAUAUAAAGAGUUUGUGGGUUUCCCUAUACUUUAUGUCUCACUUUGCCAUCAUGUUUGGCAAAUCUAGAAAACUCCCCUUGGAAAUGUGUGUUUCUGAUAUUGCAUGGGGGACCCUGUCUAUCUCAAAGUGCUCCAGUGGCAGACUGUCUGUGAAUAUUCUGGACAGAACCCUUUCACAAGUGGUUCAUAACUUAUACUGCUAUCACAAUGAAGAAGAAAUCCAAAUACAUACAAGAUCCACAUCUGAUACCAACCCUUACAAUAAAGUGGCCUGUAGGACCUUAAGGUUGAAUUCUCUAGAUAGUAAUUUACAGUAAUAUGCAACCUGAAAAGUUUUGCUCAUGGACAAGCAGCAGGGAACAUGCAAUGUUUUGUUACUUUCUUCUUAAUUAUCUUUUGUUUUCUUUUUAUGGUGCUGUGGAUUGAACCCAGGGCCUUGUACAUGCUAGGCAAAUGUUCUACCAACAGAGCCAUACCCAGCCCUAAUUUCUUGCUGUUAUCAUUUUGAUAAUUAUUUUUAUCAAUUGAGGAUGUAGCUUAUUAAGCAUUUAUCCUUCUUUUAAAAAUAACUAUCUCAACCUCGAGGAAUUUUGUAUUGAUUAUAAAUUAUCCUGAAUAUGAAAAGAGGGCCUAAGGAAACCCUUUCUUUGUCAUAAUCCUUCAAACUCACCAAUUGGAUGCUUCAAUGUAGAAAAAGUGGAAAAUUUCAAAUUGUCCCACUGAUAGAUCAGUAUCACAAAUAGCAUCAUCUUCUUUAAUAUCACACAUUUUGUGUAAUGAACACACUGGUAGGAAGACAAUUUUAAGGAAUUAAGUCAAAUAUAAUUAUAUUCAAAGACGAUGAACAAUAUUACAAAUCUUCAACUGUUCUUUGUCUUAUGUAGCCAAUGGGGACUAGUUUAAUAAAACUGAAACAAAUGUGCAGAUAAGGAGAAAAUAUCUCAGCCCAAAUGAUGAGGGUUGGUUUCUUCAAAAUUCCCAAAAUACCAUCCUAUAAAAAUGAGUCUACCCUGUUAAAACCUAGCAGUCUCCUAGCCUCAUGCUUAGGUCCUCUAAGAUAGUGAAAUAGUCUGUAUCUUUUAAUAUGACUAUAGCUAAUGUGAAUAAAUUCAAUUCUACUUUCACAUGAUAGGCUUUACCAUUUAAAAAAAGUUAUUAAACUACACAGUGACUAAACUGGGCUAUGCUCAAAUUAAAAGAAAUUUUAAAGUACCAUGUUAAGGAGAAUAAAACGGGCUGUAACUGCCAACUCAUAAAAAUACUGACAAGCUAAAUGCCUCCGAGAAAUUGCAGAAAUUGCAGAAACAUGCAAUUUGGAUAUCAAUAGGAUGGAAUCAAAGCUUAAUAGAAGAAAGACAUAAUGAUAGAGAAAAUUAGAAUGGAAUUGGGGAAGAAUUUGAAAUUAGACAUCUUGGAAUGAAAUUUUGUUGCAAAAAAACAAAGAAUUUUCAUAAGCCUUGAAGUGUGAAAGUGAAAAACCAUUAGUCAUUCAGCAACUACCACAUACAUUUAGUAGUAAAAGUUUGUACCCACUUAGGGAAACAAUUAGGUACUGGGUAUAUUACUAUCUAUGAUCCAGUUAUUAAAAAAAGAGCUGAAGGGGCCGGGGAUUUGGCUCAGUGGUACUGCCGCCUGCCUCACAAGUACAAAGUCCUGAGUUCAAUCCCCAGUACCAAAAAACCCAAAAUCAAAAACAAAACAAAAAAAAGAGCUGAAAUUUGGCUCUGCAGAUUGAUAUUUUUGAAAAUUUAAAUAAAUCUAAUUUCCCCAAAGUAUGCAAAUGUUAUACAUACAUGAAACAAAUAUGUUAGAUGAGUGUGUGCCUUCAAGGAAAUAUAGUUGAUGGUAAUUCAUAUGUUAUUGACAGAUGCAAGAAAUGGCCAGAUGGAUGGAUUUGUCCCUAAGAGUAGAACUGAAUCCAUUUUCAUAUUGCAAUUAUACUUUAUAAUUUAACAGUUUUAUAUCUACUUUCUAACAAAUAUUUCAUAACCAAGCUUCAAUAAUAAAUAAUAGAAUUGAUGGGGUUUUUUUGGCAUUACUGGGCAUUCAACCAGAGGCUUCACACUCAGUACAUCCCAGCCCUUUUAAAAUAUUUUAAUUUUGAGAGUGGGGCUCACCAAGCUGAGCAGAGACUGAGCUGAAACAUGUGAUCCUCCUGCCUCAGCUUCUUAAUAGGAAACAUUACUUGGGAAGAAAAACUAUUUCUACCAGUCCUGGUUGAGCUGUAGGAAUAAGAUGUUAUAUAAUUCACGGAUCUUCCCAGGAAUUAUAUUGGAUCAUGCAAUAAAAACUUCAAAUUACAGUGGACCCUUGCCAGCCUAACAUAUCACCAACUUGGGAGGGUAGUUUUAACCUAUAAACAGUCUUGAGUUAUGAGCCGCUUGUGCUUCCAGAUGGCCUCAGAUACAGAUUUAACCCUUAAAGAGUUCUGGAAGGAGUAUGACAGCGUCCUUUUCCAUGUGGGGUUCACUCAGAGCUCCUGGGCCAGUGUCUCUCUAAGGACACUGAGAUCUGACUGUGUACAGGAGAGAGACUUUGAAGGCUGUGUAGAGGAGCUGAGCCUUCAAUUGAUCAACUUAAGUUACAACCAGCCCUUGCAAACAAAUUGAGUUCAUAAGUCAAGGGUCCACUGUAAUUUGAAUUUUUAGACAGAUUCUAGGAUAGUUUGAUUUGGGGCUUUUAAGAAAAGAAAACCCUUGUGUGAAACUUCUUUUGCCCAACUCUGCUCUGAACUUCUAACUGAACAACAAAUUUUCAUUCCUUAAGAUUUAUUUCUGUCAUCUAUAGUUACUAUGUAGUAUGGUAUAUUAAGGGCUCAUUUGGUUUUUUUCCUCCUCAUAUUAUGUCUUUCAGUAAGAUGUACUAUCAAGAGAAACCAUUCCACUGAAAAGGGGUGAGUGGUUACCUUUAGUCACAGACACAUUCUGAAAGACCUGUGGAGUAGUGAAAAUUAACCCUUAACCAGUGUGUUUGGUUUACUUAAUAUGAGGCUGUCUUCUGAAAUGAAUUAGUGACUUACUUGAAAUGAUCCUAUGAAAAAAGUCUUUGCUUUUUUUACCUGCAUCUGAUAAGAUUAAGUUAAUGAAGUUUGAUUUAGUGGUACCUAGUAAAAUGUUUGUUACUCAUUUUAGUCUUCGUUAUUACUAGAAGACUUUCUCAAUAACAUUAUCUUACAAAUUUCUGAACGUUUAUGUGGCUUUUGGAACUGAUGAUCACUCCAUAAAUAAGCCUCUUAAUGAAGAUGAAAACCUUAGAUGCAGUACUUUGUUUGCCUGUGACAUCAUUGAAUAAAGUGAAGAGCAAACUAUUGCCUGAAUUUCAGUUGAGUAUCAUGACACCAUUAUGCUUGAUAUAAUGAAAGUGGACAGUAUGAAUGGUACCCAUUGUUUCUGAAAUGGCCUUUGAGAUGACUAGGAUCAAAAACUGAGAUAUAAGCUCCAUUAUGGGUUCUAUUCUGUAACUGACUUAUUGAUAACAUCCACAUAAGAAUAACAUCACUUUUCCUGAAAUUUCUUUGAAAGAUUGUAGAAACAUUGAGUUGCAAUUCCUAUACCUGUAUUAUAGCAUUCUUUGGACCUAAAUACUAAUAGACAUAUUCCCACCCAUUCUAGCAUUUCUGUGUUGCUCUGAUUUUGUAAUGUUUGUGGGUUAUUGGUGAAAACUCAUGGAAGAUAAUGACAUUUCAGCCACAAUUUAAACAUUUCUGUAUAUGGAUUGCCAAAUAAAUACAACCCACAGUGUUCUAAUACCUCAAGAUCCUAAUUUUUGCAUGGUUCCAGGAAUGGAAUUUUAAGAGUUCUGAUGCAAUGUGCCUUGUCAAUUACUUUUUUUUGGUACCGAGGAUUGAACUUGGGUCCUUGCACUUGCACAGCAGGCAGCCAAACCACUGAGCUAAAUCCCCGGCCUGCCAAUUACUAUUGAUAUGUCUUGUUUCAAUAUAUAAACAAGUGAUGAUCAGUAAGAUGAUAGAUCAUCUCAGCAGGACACUUACUGACUGGCUUGCCAAAGUCAAGAUGCCUAUAUGUGUCGUCCUUGUGUUUAUGAAAUCAGUGGUCUUGUGUUUAUGAAAUCAUUAACAGAAUAGUUAAUGGGUCAAUUUUUGAGUACUAACCACAAUUGGGAAAAGUACACAUAAGGCAUACAUACAUUAAGAUGUAGUUCUCCCUUUUAAAAUAUGUCCUAUUUCUCUUCUCUCAGGUAAUGACUUUGGAGAAAAAAUAAUCUUUUGCUUUCCACAUAGGAGGCAGCCACUGAAUAUGUUUGAAUUCCAAUUCAAUUCCAAUCCAGUUUAGCACCAAGAAAGCAAGAGAAAUCUCUGGAAAACAGUGUAAUGCCUAGAUACAAGGUGUCAUCAAAAUAUACAAUGAAUGUUAAAUUAAAAUAAUUAUUAUAAUAAAAGGCAUAUUGUCACUAAUCCUCCUCAAAAUAGUCUCCCUCACUUUGAACACAUUCAUCUCAUCAUUCUUACCACCUUCUGCAACAGUGUAGAAGUUUUCUUUCAUGAGUGUCUUUAUGAGGUUGUGUCAAUUGAAAAAUAUGAUGAAUGCUGCUGCCUAGUGCUAUCCAACAGAAAGGCAGGCUUGUAAAAAAAUCAUGGUGUGUCUUUAUCCACCUUAUUCUCCAGAUCUGGCACCAUGUGACUUCUGGCUCUUCCCCAGUGUCAAAAUGGCCAUGAAAGGUGAGCAUUCUGAAUUGACUCACAGUGUUGCUGAAGCUACAAAACACUCAGGAAAGAGGACUACCAGGAUUGCUUCAGAAAGUAGCAAGAACAAUAGGAUAAAUGCACUCAAGAUGAGGGGGGAUAUUUUGAAUGGGAUUGGUUGAAAUAUGUCUUUUACUGUAAGAAAUUUUUAAAAACAAACAUUCACUGUAUUUUCAAUCAUAUCUCAUAUGCAUGAGGAACCUAUCACUUUAAUCAAUGGUGAGAAUUUAUGUGGUUUUAAAGACAGAUGAUCAUAUAGUCAACAAGAACAUGCUGGGAACCUCAGUGAUAAUCCUUGGGCAGGAAUUUGGGAAUUCUUCUCUCCAUUCUGGGUUUCAUUUUGGGCUUGAGAAAAUAAAACACUUGAAAUAAACUUAUGUGGCUUAACUAAAAGAUGUGCUUAUGAAGAACAAAUGCUAGUUCACUAAGCUUUAUGUCAGAGACCUAGGAUUCCUAGUGGUUCACAUUAGCGUUUUAGCCAUGCCUCACUUCCUCUCAUUCUAUUUUUCAGUGAAAAUACCACAAAUUGCACACCUUUACAUUGGUAUGAGAUGAGGGACAACCUUUGGUCGCAGAUAUAUUCCAUAUAAGACACUGAGCUAAAGGAGACUCACCAAGGUGUCACCUUUUACUCAUUUGGUCCACUUGAAUAUUGACAUCGAGUGUUCCUGCUGAAUGACAGCUCUACUCAUUGAUAGCCUAUGGUGAUAUAUUUAUUACUAUCUGACUUCGAAGAGACUGCAGUGAAUGACAUGCUGAUUUAUUCAUACACAGUGUUCAGUACUUAUAUGUAUCUUUAUGUGAGAGGAGACAAAAAUGUUAUAAUAUCAAAUGAGACUAUAAGAGCUUCAUUCUGCUUAAUGUGUGCUGAACAAAUCUUGAGAAUUUAAGAAUAUUAACAAAAAUUAAAAUGUGAGACUGAGUAAUUUGCUAUUACCAUUAAGUCUAAAAUGAUUGAAGUGGUAAGUCAUAAAAGGAUUUCACUUGCUUAAUAAUGUGAAUGUUUUAUUCACAGAAUAAUGAAAGUGUAUGCAGUGUAUGAUAAUAGACACUGCCUGAAAUGAAUAUUAUUAAGAGUUGCCUGAUACCUGGUAACUAAAUCCUGACAUAGCUGAAGCAUCAAGUGUCUCAUUUCAGACUUCAAAUGAAAAUGGAGAGGCAGAUUACUGAGGUAGACUUCUUGAAUAUAACUAGAAGGUAGGGUAAAUAGGAUGUAUGACAGCUUGCCUGACAUCAGAGUGGCUCUUCAAAGACAAGGUCACUGUAUCGUGUCAUUCACAUUUUGAAAGACACAGUUGGAUGUAACUUCUAUAACAUGACAUUCUUGGGGUAUUUAUAUAUCGACCAUACACAAAAAGACUAAAAUACUCAGAUCUGAUGAGAUACACAGUUACAUAUUUUGACACUGGUACAUAAGCUCAGAGUGGAGAAUGCCACAUAUCUAACCUGACGAAAUAGGGGGAUAAAGAUUAGAUUUUUAGAAAAUAAUGCACUGAAAUGCAUAAAAAAGAGAAGAAAACCAACUUUCAAUUUUAAAAAGGGGAAGCAUACUCAGGUAAAAGAGAAAAUAUGUAAAAUGAAGGCAAUUCCUGAUUUGCCUAAGUUAUGAGGAUCCAAAACAUUUUUUUUAAAAGAUGUGACAUAAUGACACAACAGGGGAAAAACCAAUGUAAAAAAAACAUUAACAGAAUUUUAGAAGAUUUAUACAUUUCCAACUGAACAGAAAAGGAAAGGAAACUCCAGAUGCUUGAAGAGCCUAAAACUUUUUAGAAGUAAAACUGAACAAAAAAAGAUCUUUCAAAAAAUUUGGCAUAUAAAAACAACAUGAGUCAUAGAACUGUGGAAACUGAGCUCAUUUUCAUGAAUGCUGUCUUUCAGCAGGAUGUGAUGCCAUGAGGAGAGAGAGAGAGAGAGAGAGAGAGGCCUCACGGAUGGAGCCAGUUAGCAGGCCGCCAGGACUGCUGGCUGACAGAGGGACUUCUUGAGCUCAACUCAGUCAGUGUGGGGGCAUCAAAGCCCGGGGAACAUGGGCUGACAGGCCGGCCUGUUGGCCUCCAGGAAAAUGCUACCUUUGAAGCAGUGAGGACUGCCGUAGCCCUUGAGUAUGGGGAGGUACAGCGGGGCACUCUGAAUAUGGAACGUGUGGCCAGGAAGCCUCCAGCAUUGGAUCCCGAGUCCAAGAGCAAUCUGGGCUGUCCUGGGGGUCCAGAUAAAGCAUACCUGUCCCAACGGUGUGCCCGCCUGUUAGACCAGCCAACUUCCACAGUGCUCCCUCUCACAAAUAACUAGUUUUCAGUUGGCCCUGCAGUUCUGGAGGCGAGGGGCUGAAUCCCUGGUCCCAUGGCUGUUUGAGC
Molecule: long non-coding RNA, 29157 nt
Organism: Heterocephalus glaber (naked mole-rat)
Lineage: Eukaryota; Metazoa; Chordata; Mammalia; Rodentia; Bathyergidae
Source: Ensembl